This 68-nucleotide transfer RNA is filed under the name Tyrannodoris europaea. RNAcentral's name for it is "Roboastra europaea tRNA-Cys". Lineage: Eukaryota; Metazoa; Mollusca; Gastropoda; Nudibranchia; Polyceridae. The record is from RNAcentral.
CAGGCUGUAGUUUAAUAAAAUAUUAAGUUGCAACUUAAAGUUGAGGUUAAUGCACUCCUCUUGUCUGG